This 978-nucleotide long non-coding RNA is filed under the name Linum usitatissimum (flax). RNAcentral's name for it is "long non-coding RNA (LUSI_LNC002157)". Lineage: Eukaryota; Viridiplantae; Streptophyta; Magnoliopsida; Malpighiales; Linaceae. The record is from RNAcentral.
CAGUUCGUCCUCGACUUCCAACCAUGGUCCUUCCGUCGAUACAUGAUUCAUUUCACAUCGAUCCUCAUCCCAUCGGAGGAACUCUUUGAGUCUCUCGGCGUCAUGAACAUUUGGGUCAAGCUUGAAGGUUUACCAGUGGCAUGACGUACUACAGCUGUGGGUCGACGACUUCUGGCUCCUUUUGGUGAGAUAAUUAAGAUUGGUUAUUUUGAUGCUAAUCUCCCCAGUGGUUUCUACGUCAAGGGUUUGGUUCGGAUGGAUAUCUUGGAUUCAUUCACAGGCACAAUUGAAGCUUGUGAUGACGCUGGCCGGACUUAUCCGGUUUACUUUCAAUACGUCAAUGUACCUUGUAUUUGCUUUCAAUGUGGUUACUUGGGAUGUAUUGUUGUUGAAUCUGAUAGACAGGGCCUGGCUGUUGUUCCACCUUCGAGGGAUGCGUGGAUUUCCAUAUCAUACGACAAAGAAGAAGAGAAAGUCGAUGGUCCAGGUUUGCAAGCCGUCGUUCAACCGCAUCAAAUAGCUCGUCGAGGUCGCGCUCGCAUUGUACCGCCAACCGUCCAAGUGGGACUCUCUGUUACUUUUAUAAGAGCUCGCGCGGGACAUCGUGGUACGGGUCGAAGUGGCCGGGGUCGAGGACCUACUACUACACAACGAUUACCUCUUGCUUUACCCGGGCUCUCCGGAUUCCAUCAAUCGGCCAAUUCAUCUGCUUCCUCCAUUGAUUCAAGCGCUGCGAUGAAUGCAAACCAAGACCCGCUUGAUCCACAUCUCCAACCAAGUCUCCAACCCUCACUAUCCAACCCGCCUACUGAUCACUCCAACAGAAAUUCCAAUGGUCCCUCGAUCCAGACCAAACGGAAGUUAUUACCUGAAGAAAAAGGCAAAGCAAAGGCUACAUAUUCACAAGACUCGACCAUCAAAACAUACAGACGUAGGGGGGUUGCCCUCGUCAUCCGCGAGCCAACUGAAGAAGAAUCU